This 138-nucleotide ribosomal RNA is filed under the name Triticum aestivum (bread wheat). Its description in RNAcentral is "partial small subunit ribosomal RNA". The record is from RNAcentral. Lineage: Eukaryota; Viridiplantae; Streptophyta; Magnoliopsida; Poales; Poaceae.
AUGGCCAACCCCUCCAUGGCGGCCGGCGCCGGGGUGCCGUUGGUGGAGGGGGUCCAUGCCGUUGGGGCCCAGAUCCGCAACCGCUUCCGCGUGGCGCCCGUCGACCGCGUGGCUGCGGCCCUGGCGACGCGAUGGUAG